UGGGGAAUAUUGGACAAUGGGGGGAACCCUGAUCCAGCCAUGCCGCGUGUGUGAAGAAGGCCUUAUGGUUGUAAAGCACUUUAAGCGAGGAGGAGGGUACUGGUAUUAAUACUACCAGCUACUGGACGUUACUCGCAGAAUAAGCACCGGCUAACUCUGUGCCAGCAGCCGCGGUAAUACAGAGGGUGCGAGCGUUAAUCGGAUUUACUGGGCGUAAAGCGUGCGUAGGCGGCUAAUUGAGUCGGAUGUGCAAUCCCCGAGCUUAACUUGGGAAUUGCAUUCGAUACUGGUUAGCUAGAGUGUGGGAGAGGAUGGUAGAAUUCCAGGUGUAGCGGUGAAAUGCGUAGAGAUCUGGAGGAAUACCGAUGGCGAAGGCAGCCAUCUGGCCUAACACUGACGCUGAGGUACGAAAGCAUGGGGAGCAAACAGG
RNAcentral lists this ribosomal RNA (430 nucleotides) under Pseudomonadota bacterium. RNAcentral's name for it is "Proteobacteria bacterium partial 16S ribosomal RNA". It matches the Rfam family "Bacterial small subunit ribosomal RNA", at positions 355 to 776 of the family's 1533-position model. Lineage: Bacteria; Pseudomonadati; Pseudomonadota. The record is from RNAcentral.